RNAcentral lists this ribosomal RNA (250 nucleotides) under Salmonella enterica. RNAcentral describes it as "partial 16S ribosomal RNA". It matches the Rfam family "Bacterial small subunit ribosomal RNA", at positions 1 to 247 of the family's 1533-position model. RNAcentral also lists the same sequence under 5 other names. Lineage: Bacteria; Pseudomonadati; Pseudomonadota; Gammaproteobacteria; Enterobacterales; Enterobacteriaceae. The record is from RNAcentral.
AAAUUGAAGAGUUUGAUCAUGGCUCAGAUUGAACGCUGGCGGCAGGCCUAACACAUGCAAGUCGAACGGUAACAGGAAGCAGCUUGCUGCUUCGCUGACGAGUGGCGGACGGGUGAGUAAUGUCUGGGAAACUGCCUGAUGGAGGGGGAUAACUACUGGAAACGGUGGCUAAUACCGCAUAACGUCGCAAGACCAAAGAGGGGGACCUUCGGGCCUCUUGCCAUCAGAUGUGCCCAGAUGGGAUUAGCUU